GGCGGCNGCUGACACAUNGCAAGUUUAACGGUACAGAAAGUAGCUUGCUACUUUGCUGACGAGCGGCGGACGGGUGAGUAAUGCUUGGGAACAUGCCUUGAGGGUGGGGGACAACAGUUGGAAACGACUGCUAAUACCGCAUAAUGUCUACGGACCAAAGGGGGCUUCGGCUCUCGCCUUUAGAUUGGCCCAAGUGGGAUUAGCUAGUUGGUGAGGUAAUGGCUCACCAAGGCGACGAUCCCUAGCUGGUUUGAGAGGAUGAUCAGCCACACUGGGACUGAGACACGGCCCAGACUCCUACGGGAGGCAGCAGUGGGGAAUAUUGCACAAUGGGCGCAAGCCUGAUGCAGCCAUGCCGCGUGUGUGAAGAAGGCCUUCGGGUUGUAAAGCACUUUCAGUCAGGAGGAAAGGUUAACGGUUAAUACCCGUUANCUGUGACGUUACUGACAGAAGAAGCACCGGCUAACUCCGUGCCAGCAGCCGCGGUAAUACGGAGGGUGCGAGCGUUAAUCGGAAUUACUGGGCGUAAAGCGUACGCAGGCGGUUUGUUAAGCGAGAUGUGAAAGCCCCGGGCUCAACCUGGGAACUGCAUUUCGAACUGGCAAACUAGAGUGUGAUAGAGGGUGGUAGAAUUUCAGGUGUAGCGGUGAAAUGCGUAAGAUCUGAAGGAAUACCGAUGGCGAAGGCAGCACCUUGGGUCACACUGACGCUCAUGUACGAAAGCGUGGGGAGCAACG
Molecule: ribosomal RNA, 737 nt
Filed under: Pseudoalteromonas sp. UST050418-124
Lineage: Bacteria; Pseudomonadati; Pseudomonadota; Gammaproteobacteria; Alteromonadales; Pseudoalteromonadaceae
Description: bacterial SSU rRNA
Rfam family: Bacterial small subunit ribosomal RNA
Source: RNAcentral